GUGGUUGCCUUGGCAGCACAGAGUGCUAAAAUUGGAAUGAUACAGACAUUACCAUGGCCCCUGCGCAAGGAUGACGUGCGAAUUCCUGAAGCGCUCCAUAUUUUC
RNAcentral lists this small nuclear RNA (105 nucleotides) under Chinchilla lanigera (long-tailed chinchilla). Lineage: Eukaryota; Metazoa; Chordata; Mammalia; Rodentia; Chinchillidae. The record is from RNAcentral.